GUGUGUGGUGUUAGUGGUGUGUGUGGUGUGUGUGGUGUUAGUGGUGUGUGUGUGGUGUUAGUGGUGUGUGUGUGUGUGUGUGAGUGUGUGUGAGUGUGUGUGUUUUAUAGUGUUAGCGGUGUUAGUGGUGUGUGUGGUUUGUGUGGUGUUAGUGGUGUGUGUGUGUGUGUGUGUGAGUGUGUGUGUGUGUGUUUUAUAGUGUUAGUGGUGUUAGUGGUGUGUGUGGUGUGUGUGGUGUUAGUGGUGUGUGUGUGGUGUUAGUGUGGUGUGUGUGUGUGUGUGAGUGUGUGUGAGUGUGUGUGUUUUAUAGUGUUAGCGGUGUUAGUGGUGUGUGUGGUUUGUGUGGUGUUAGUGGUGUGUGUGUGUGUGUGUGUGAGUGUGUGUGUGUGUGUUUUAUAGUGUUAGUGGUGUUAGUGGUGUGUGUGGUGUGUGUGGUGUUAGUGGUGUGUGUGUGGUGUUAGUGGUGUGUGUGUGUGUGUGUGUGAGUGUGUGUGUGUGUGUGUUUUAUAGUGUUAGUGGUGUGUGUGGUUUGUGUGGUGUUAGUGGUGUGUGUGUGUGUGAGAGUGUGUGUGUGUUUUAUAGUGUUAAUGGUGUUAGUGGUGUGUGUGGUUUGUGUGGUGUUAGUGGUGUGUGUGUGUGUGUGAGUGUGUGUGUGUGUGUUUUAUAGUGUUAGUGGUGUUAGUGGUGUGUGUGGUUUGUGUGGUGUUAGUGGUGUGUGUGGUGUGUGUGGUGUUAGUGGUGUUAGUGGUGUGUGUGUGGUGUUAGUGGUGUGUGUGUGUGUGUGUGUGAGUGUGUGUGUGUGUUUUAUAGUGUUAGUGGUGUUAGUGGUGUGUGUGGUUUGUGUGGUGUUAGUGGUGUGUGUGUGUGUGUGAGUGUGUGUGUGUGUGAGUGUGUGUGUGUUUUAUAGUGUUAAUGGUGUUAGUGGUGUGUGUGGUUUGUGUGGUGUUAGUGGUGUGUGUGUGUGUGUGAGUGUGUGUGAGUGUGUGUGUUUUAUAGUGUUAGUGGUGUUAGUGGUGUGUGUGGUUUGUGUGGUGUUAUAGUCGGUCAGUGUUAGUGUAGUCUCUCUCCUCUCUCUGUCUGGUGGUAGAAACAAUAGAGACGGCGUUGCCCCCUACGGGAGAGGAGUUUAAAACAGCAGUCACAUAAUCAUCUCUACUGCCCCCUAGAGGAGCGGAGUUUAAAACAGCAGCUAGUGAGACAGUGUGUGUGUGUGUGUGUUUGUUUGUGUGAGUGUGUGUGUGUGUGUGUCUGUGUGUGUGUUUGUGUGUGUGUGUGUGUGUGUAUGUGUGUGUGUGUGUGUGUAGGGACACAGGAUGCUCCUCUCAGCAGUCACCACAGACUUCCUUCCCUUU
This is a long non-coding RNA of Clupea harengus (Atlantic herring), 1352 nucleotides long. The record is from Ensembl. NCBI's taxonomy places the organism in Eukaryota, Metazoa, Chordata, Actinopteri, Clupeiformes, Clupeidae.